This 449-nucleotide ribosomal RNA is filed under the name uncultured bacterium. Its description in RNAcentral is "bacterial SSU rRNA". It matches the Rfam family "Bacterial small subunit ribosomal RNA", at positions 335 to 795 of the family's 1533-position model. The record is from RNAcentral.
ACUCCUACGGGAGGCAGCAGUGGGGAAUAUUGCACAAUGGGCGCAAGCCUGAUGCAGCAACGCCGCGUGAGGGAUGAAGGCCUUCGGGUUGUAAACCUCUUUUAGCAGGGAAGAAGCGAAAGUGACGGUACCUGCAGAAAAAGCACCGGCUAACUACGUGCCAGCAGCCGCGGUAAUACGUAGGGUGCAAGCGUUGUCCGGAAUUAUUGGGCGUAAAGAGCUCGUAGGCGGUUUGUCACGUCUGCUGUGAAAAUCCAAGGCUCAACCUUGGACUUGCAGUGGGUACGGGCAGGCUAGAGUGCGGUAGGGGAGAUGGGAAUUCCUGGUGUAGCGGUGGAAUGCGCAGAUAUCAGGAGGAACACCAAUGGCGAAGGCACAUCUCUGGGCCGUAACUGACGCUGAGGAGCGAAAGCGUGGGGAGCGAACAGGAUUAGAUACCCUGGUAGGUC